This 968-nucleotide long non-coding RNA is filed under the name Oryctolagus cuniculus (rabbit). RNAcentral's name for it is "lncRNA (ENSOCUG00000036838.1)". Lineage: Eukaryota; Metazoa; Chordata; Mammalia; Lagomorpha; Leporidae. The record is from RNAcentral.
GUCAAAUGGUGGAUCUUCCCGUUUGGAGAUUGACCUAAUAGUCAUUCAACAUGUACCAAGUGCCAGAGGAGCUGAGAAAAAUACUCAAUAUAAUAAAGCAAUGGACAACCAGAUGACAGAGUUGUGACUUAUUGGCCCUGGACAUCAUUCUAAUAUGCAGUACAUUUUCAAAUGAUGAAUGAACACAAAUUUUUACAAGAACCUUGAAUAGAGAAGAGGAAUAACAAAAUAAUGGAAGGAAAGAAUGGAAGACGGAAGACAGGAAAAAAGGAAAGAAGAAAGAAGCAGUUUUCCAUCAGGAAAGCUGGAAACAAGGAAUCAACAACUUACUCUUUCUGUGGGCAAUUGGAGGACAUGAAACAGUUGAUCUGCUCAUGAAUGUCUUUGGCUAUUACAAGGGACAGAAGAAUGACCUAAAGAGUGUGAACUCUAACAUAGCCCAACCAUUUCUCCCCAGGACAAAAACUAUUAAAUGUCUAGCAGAUAUGGCCUCCUUUGACUUUGUUCAAAUGGGAUGAAACCUUAUUAAAACAUCAAAUCUCAAAGACACAGUUUGGCCACAGAUCUAUUUCAAGUUAAAGGCCACUCUGUGAACAUAGCCCUUUUGCAACUUUCAAACAUUUCAUAAAUGUGCAGUUAAUAGGAAGAUUGAUAAAUUCUCACUUUAACUGCUGUUCAGAGCUGUCAUCUUCUUCUCGCUAGAUCUCAUGGCCUAAAGAAGGAACUUCUAGUAUGCUAAAUGUCACUACAGGGUUGAAACUCCCAGCGUAUUUUUGUGUAUUAACUUAAAUAUUAACUUAAGUAUUAACUUAAAAUAAUUCUCAUAGGUGCAUAGAGUAAUAGAACUGGUAUUCUAUAGUAUUAUAGAAACCUCAGAUACAAAUAUGGAUGACGAGCCUUUUGUUUUUUAGGAGUAGAGACAAGGGCAGUUUGAGAAGAAGUAUUUAAUAAAGGACAAGCAAAUGGCA